Molecule: long non-coding RNA, 201 nt
Filed under: Elaeis guineensis (African oil palm)
Lineage: Eukaryota; Viridiplantae; Streptophyta; Magnoliopsida; Arecales; Arecaceae
Description: long non-coding RNA (EGUI_LNC032530)
Source: RNAcentral
GGAUAGCCUAGAAAUUUAGCAUGAUGUCACUUCUGAUCACUAUAGGACAACCAGUUGAGUAGUUAUAGAAGUUUAUCCCUCCAUACAAUAGUAGUGCAUCAUCGACAUCAGCAGUAGCAGUAGCAGCUUAGCAAGUCCAUCUAGUACUCAUGAUCGAUCUAUUCUUCAACCGUCCCAGCGCACACGAUCUAACCAGCCACC